RNAcentral lists this ribosomal RNA (448 nucleotides) under uncultured bacterium. RNAcentral describes it as "SSU rRNA". It matches the Rfam family "Bacterial small subunit ribosomal RNA", at positions 26 to 518 of the family's 1533-position model. The record is from RNAcentral.
AGAGCGAACGCUGGCGGCAGGCUUAACACAUGCAAGUCGAGCGGGCGUAGCAAUACGUCAGCGGCAGACGGGUGAGUAACGCGUGGGAACAUACCUUUUGGUUCGGAACAACACAGGGAAACUUGUGCUAAUACCGGAUAAGCCCUUACGGGGAAAGAUUUAUCGCCGAAAGAUUGGCCCGCGUCUGAUUAGCUAGUUGGUGAGGUAACGGCUCACCAAGGCGACGAUCAGUAGCUGGUCUGAGAGGAUGAUCAGCCACAUUGGGACUGAGACACGGCCCAAACUCCUACGGGAGACAGCAGUGGGGAAUAUUGGACAAUGGGCGCAAGCCUGAUCCAGCCAUGCCGCGUGAGUGAUGAAGGCCCUAGGGUUGUAAAGCUCUUUUGUGCGGGAAGAUAAUGACGGUACCGCAAGAAUAAGCCCCGGCUAACUUCGUGUCAGCAGCCGC